RNAcentral lists this ribosomal RNA (565 nucleotides) under Trichoderma harzianum. RNAcentral describes it as "eukaryotic LSU rRNA". The stretch from base 187 to 340 matches the Rfam family "5.8S ribosomal RNA". The record is from RNAcentral. Lineage: Eukaryota; Fungi; Ascomycota; Sordariomycetes; Hypocreales; Hypocreaceae.
UCCCAACCCAAUGUGAACGUUACCAAACUGUUGCCUCGGCGGGAUCUCUGCCCCGGGUGCGUCGCAGCCCCGGACCAAGGCGCCCGCCGGAGGACCAACCAAAACUCUUUUUGUAUACCCCCUCGCGGGUUUUUUAUAAUCUGAGCCUUCUCGGCGCCUCUCGUAGGCGUUUCGAAAAUGAAUCAAAACUUUCAACAACGGAUCUCUUGGUUCUGGCAUCGAUGAAGAACGCAGCGAAAUGCGAUAAGUAAUGUGAAUUGCAGAAUUCAGUGAAUCAUCGAAUCUUUGAACGCACAUUGCGCCCGCCAGUAUUCUGGCGGGCAUGCCUGUCCGAGCGUCAUUUCAACCCUCGAACCCCUCCGGGGGGUCGGCGUUGGGGAUCGGCCCUGCCUCUUGGCGGUGGCCGUCUCCGAAAUACAGUGGCGGUCUCGCCGCAGCCUCUCCUGCGCAGUAGUUUGCACACUCGCAUCGGGAGCGCGGCGCGUCCACAGCCGUUAAACACCCAACUUCUGAAAUGUUGACCUCGGAUCAGGUAGGAAUACCCGCUGAACUUAAGCAUAUCAAU